GCCGGGAUGGCGGAACUGGUAGACGCAAGGGACUUAAAAUCCCUCGAAAGCAAUUUCGUGCGGGUUCGACUCCCGCUCCCGGCACCA
RNAcentral lists this transfer RNA (87 nucleotides) under Mariprofundaceae bacterium. RNAcentral's name for it is "tRNA-Leu". It matches the Rfam family "tRNA". Rfam says of the family: Transfer RNA (tRNA) molecules are approximately 80 nucleotides in length. Their secondary structure includes four short double-helical elements and three loops (D, anti-codon, and T loops). The record is from RNAcentral. Lineage: Bacteria; Pseudomonadati; Pseudomonadota; Candidatius Mariprofundia; Mariprofundales; Mariprofundaceae.